GCUUAUGGCCAUACCAGCCUGGCUAUGCCCGAUCUUGUCUGAUCUCGUAAGCUAAGCAGGUUUGGGCCUGGUUAGUGCCUGGAUGGGAGACCGCCUGGGAAUGCCAGGUACUGUAAGCU
Ribosomal RNA from Carassius auratus (goldfish), 119 nucleotides. The record is from Ensembl. Lineage: Eukaryota; Metazoa; Chordata; Actinopteri; Cypriniformes; Cyprinidae.